Molecule: long non-coding RNA, 819 nt
Organism: Candoia aspera
Lineage: Eukaryota; Metazoa; Chordata; Lepidosauria; Squamata; Candoiidae
Exons: 4
Source: RefSeq, a predicted model, not a curated record
AGACACUGAUCGAGCUUUAGCACUUCUGGAAGAUUAUUGUAAGAAGCUAAAAAAGCCAGAGGAGCAGCAACUGAAAAAAGCCAUUAAGAAGGUGAUGGGCAUCUUUAAAAGCAGCUUGUUCCAGGCAUUGCUAGUUCCUGCAGAGGGAAAAACAAACACGUUUGAAAUUCUUCAAGGAACAUUUUCCGCAUAGAAUCUCUACAGGCCUGGGGAUGUUGACCAGCGUGGAUGUCCUUCCAUCUACUCAUCCAGGUAUCUGUUUCAUGAAAAUGAGAAGCAGAAGAAAGAAAUGGAGUGCACAUUAGUUGGGUCACUCAGAUCGUAGGUUAGCUUGAAGGGAAAAGGCUGUCAUCUUGGAAGCUGUGACUUCAGGAUCAUCACUAAAAGGUUUGUUCUCACUGAUACAUCUUCAAACAGCGACCAGAGAUUUUGUCUGCUCUCCUUGCAACAUGUUCAUUCAUUGACCAAGAGGAGUCAUGCUGAAGAGUCAAAUUAGAAUCUAACACUCUUUUCUCCACGGAUAUCUCAGUUCUUGCUAUAGCAGUAAAGGUUCUCCCUCCCAGACUGUCUCAGUCAAGGCCUUUCAGAUAUAUUGAUUCCCAAUAAUCCUCAUUUAAAGGAUAUACUGGUUGGAAGUUAUGGGCAUUGUAGUUUAACAUGUCUGGAAGGCUGGGCUUCCAUACAGUUUCUCCUCAGGCUUCCUGCCACUGCAUCCUGGCAGUCAGGAGAGCUGUAGCCCUCACUUGAAAAAGUGACUCUCAGGUUGCUUUUGCCCUUUAAGGGUUUUGAACUCAAACUCAGCUAUUGAAAACUACAUAU